GAAGAAUUUGUGUUACUGGGAAA
This 23-nucleotide non-coding RNA is filed under the name Cricetulus griseus (Chinese hamster). Lineage: Eukaryota; Metazoa; Chordata; Mammalia; Rodentia; Cricetidae. The record is from RNAcentral.